This 118-nucleotide ribosomal RNA is filed under the name Pteropus alecto (black flying fox). The record is from RNAcentral. Lineage: Eukaryota; Metazoa; Chordata; Mammalia; Chiroptera; Pteropodidae.
GUCUACGGCCAUGCUACCUGAAAAAGCCCGAUCCCAUCUGAUCUCGGAAGCUAAGCAGGGUUGGGCCUGGUUAGUACUUGGAUGGAAGACCACCUAGGAAGACCAGGUGCUAUAGGUG